This 105-nucleotide small nuclear RNA is filed under the name Marchantia polymorpha subsp. ruderalis. Lineage: Eukaryota; Viridiplantae; Streptophyta; Marchantiopsida; Marchantiales; Marchantiaceae. The record is from RNAcentral.
GCCUACCUUCCGUGACAUACUAUAAAAUUGGAACGAUACAGAAAAGAUUAGAAUGGCCCUUGCCCAAUGAUGACACGCACAAAUCGAGAAAUGGUCCAAAUGUUG